This 254-nucleotide ribosomal RNA is filed under the name uncultured bacterium. Its description in RNAcentral is "partial 16S ribosomal RNA". It matches the Rfam family "Bacterial small subunit ribosomal RNA", at positions 524 to 776 of the family's 1533-position model. The record is from RNAcentral.
UACGAAGGGGGCUAGCGUUGCUCGGAAUGACUGGGCGUAAAGAGCGCGUAGGCGGUCUGUUAAGUGAGAAGUGAAAUCUCCAGGGCUCAACCCGGAAACUGCUUUUCAUACUGGCAGACUUGAGGGAUGCAGAGGUGAAUGGAAUUCCUGGUGUAGCGGUGAAAUGCGUUGAUAUCAGGAGGAACACCCAUGGCGAAGGCAGUUCACUGGGCAUCAUCUGACGCUGAGGCGCGAAAGCGUGGGUAGCAAACAGG